RNAcentral lists this ribosomal RNA (397 nucleotides) under uncultured bacterium. Its description in RNAcentral is "bacterial SSU rRNA". It matches the Rfam family "Bacterial small subunit ribosomal RNA", at positions 358 to 772 of the family's 1533-position model. The record is from RNAcentral.
GGAAUUUUGGGCAAUGGGCGAAAGCCUGACCCAGCAACGCCGCGUGAAGGAUGAAGUCCCUCGGGAUGUAAACUUCGUAAGCAUAGGAAGAAUAAAUGACGGUACUAUGCGUAAGCUCCGGCUAACUACGUGCCAGCAGCCGCGGUAAUACGUAGGGAGCAAGCGUUGUUCGGAUUUACUGGGCGUAAAGGGUGCGUAGGCGGCGCGUAAAGUCACUUGUGAAAUCUCCGGGCUUAACUCGGAACGGCCAAGUGAUACUGUCGUGCUAGAGUGCGGAAUGGGCAACUGGAAUUCUUGGUGUAGCGGUGAAAUGCGUAGAUAUCAAGAGGAACACCUGAGGUGAAGACGGGUUGCUGGGCUGACACUGACGCUGAGGCGCGAAAGCCAGGGGAGCAAA